RNAcentral lists this non-coding RNA (155 nucleotides) under Streptomyces sparsogenes. RNAcentral also lists the same sequence under 1 other name. The record is from RNAcentral. Lineage: Bacteria; Bacillati; Actinomycetota; Actinomycetes; Kitasatosporales; Streptomycetaceae.
GGACUCUCCGAUGCGACAAGUCCAUAUAUCGAGGCGACGGCACACAGGAACCCGGUGCGAAUCCGGGACGGUCCCGCCACUGUGACCGGAAGUCAGCGCGCGCGGGCGCGCCGCGCUUCCGGGAGUCAGGAACUGGCCCGUCGUCCUCCUUCCUG